ACCAAGUGUUUCACUCAAUCACUCAAGUGUUUAAGGUGACACUCCAACUCUUUAUUGUUCACAAGUCACAUGAAACAAAAUUGCCAUUCAUCUCAAACAAUCAACAUCUUUACAUGCAAAUGCCAUCAAAAGGACUUUUCCAAGGCUUGUGAUGAGGUCGGGCUAACAAGAAAAAUUGGUUUUUCUAGAAUGCAAAAUCCUUGAGUAAAGAGAGCUAACAAAAUAUUCAACAUUUAUGCACAACUCUCCCAUUAAUGCUUCUCAUUCCCAACUUCUUCCCUUUUCUUUUCUUUUUCAUUGAGCUCAUCUUCAUGCUUUUCUUCUUUUCUUUUCUUUUUCUCAUGACUUUUUCUCUUUUCACAACAAUUGAGCUCAAUGCCUUUUACUUGCUUUUUCAAUUUUCCCCGUACGACCCCAAACUUGAACCUUUUCAAAACAUAUAAUUAAGCUCAUCCCAACUCAAGGUAAAGAACUUCAAAACAAGGGUUCAUAUACUGUUUAAGGCCAAGGUUCAAAAAGGGUAUAAUAUUUCAAGCACUUUUGAUGAUACGCGGGGCCCAAGCCCACCAAAUAAAUAACAACCCAAGAGCAUGGAGAAGGGUAAAGUGGACAUUGCUACAUAAGGAGGGGUGUGCC
This 636-nucleotide long non-coding RNA is filed under the name Vigna radiata. RNAcentral's name for it is "long non-coding RNA (VRAD_LNC011987)". The record is from RNAcentral. Lineage: Eukaryota; Viridiplantae; Streptophyta; Magnoliopsida; Fabales; Fabaceae.